This is a long non-coding RNA of Populus euphratica (Euphrates poplar), 745 nucleotides long. RefSeq lists it as uncharacterized. The transcript is spliced from 2 exons. The record is from RefSeq and is a predicted model, not a curated record. Lineage: Eukaryota; Viridiplantae; Streptophyta; Magnoliopsida; Malpighiales; Salicaceae.
UGGCCCUCAUUACAGUCGACUUCCCUUGUUGGAACUAUCUAAAAACAGACAACGCUUUAAGGUUGACGAUUUUGCAAGAGAUUCCAAGCUCACUGGGCAUUGAAAAUGACCAUACCCAUUGCGAAAGAUUCCAAGUUAAAUGUUGAAUCAAAUAUCUAUAGAUACCAUUUGCCUUGAGGUGCUGCCUCAACACUUUCAAACCGCCCGCCUUUCGUUGUCAAACAAAUACUGGCAAUCAUCCAUCCGCACCAUAAAUGGCAUAAACCGUCCACUCACACAAACCACCAGUCUCUUAUCCAUCAAUUACAAUCCAAAAUAUCAAGGAACAGCCAUUUUAGCUCUCCACAAAACCUUUCAAGGGCGGGAGCCAGCUGGCAGGGACAGAGUGAACUAAUUGUUUUGCUUCAAUAUUUCUAGAGGGAGACAACACUUCACGGAACUUCGCACUGGUGACAAAAUCAAUAUUUUGACAAUCCAUGGUCAAGGCAGCUAUCACAAAUCUAUGCUUCGCGGAAAAAUCACAACCAAAGCUUGGAAUGAACUGUCAUGGGAAACUUAAAGAGGAGGCUUAAUUCAAUUCAGGUUCAGCUUUCCUAUGCAAUGUGCAAUAAAAAAUUAUCUAGAUAUGUUAAGGCACCUACGGAACACUUGGUUAGAAAAAAUAUAAAAGCACCCAUUAUAAGUCAACUCAUUGUCUCUCUGCACAUACCCAACCCUGAAACAACCAUCCUUCUACAAAAAGGAA